GUCAAAUCCUGGAGCUUAACUUCAGGACUGCUGUUGAUACUGUAAAACUUGAGGCUGGAAGAGGCAAGCGGAACUAUCGGUGUAGUCGUAAUAAGCGCUGAUAUCGAUAGGAACACCAAAGGCGAAGGCAGCUUGCUAGUACGUGCCUGACACUCAUGGACGAAAGCGUGGGUAGCGAAUCGGAUUAGAUACCCGAGUAGUCCACGCCCUAAACGAUGUGCACUAGGUAUUGGGAGUAUCGACCCUCUCAGUGCCGUUGAACAAAGCUAACGCGUUAAGUGCACCGCCUGGGGAGUACGAUCGCAAGAUUAAAACUCAAAGGAAUAGACGGGGACCCGCACAAGCGGUGGAUCAUGUGGUUUAAUUCGAUGAUACGCGGCGAACCUCACCAAGACUUGACAUAUAGCUGCAAGCUCCUAGAAAUAGGAGCCGCCUUCGAGGGUGCUAUACAGGUGCUGCAUGGUUGCCGUCANCUCGUGCCGUGAGGUGUACCCUAAAGGGGGGAACGA
Molecule: ribosomal RNA, 509 nt
Filed under: uncultured bacterium
Lineage: Bacteria
Description: bacterial SSU rRNA
Rfam family: Bacterial small subunit ribosomal RNA
Source: RNAcentral